UACGUAGGGUGCAAGCGUUGUCCGGAAUUAUUGGGCGUAAAGAGCUCGUAGGCGGUCUGUCGCGUCGGAUGUGAAAAUCCAGGGCUCAACCCUGGACCUGCAUUCGAUACGGGCAGACUAGAGUUCGGCAGGGGAGACUGGAAUUCCUGGUGUAGCGGUGAAAUGCGCAGAUAUCGGGAGGAACACCGGUGGCGAAGGCGGGUCUCUGGGCCGAUACUGACGCUGAGGAGCGAAAGCGUGGGGAGCGAACAGG
This 253-nucleotide ribosomal RNA is filed under the name uncultured bacterium. RNAcentral's name for it is "partial 16S ribosomal RNA". It matches the Rfam family "Bacterial small subunit ribosomal RNA", at positions 524 to 776 of the family's 1533-position model. The record is from RNAcentral.